Molecule: ribosomal RNA, 205 nt
Filed under: uncultured bacterium
Lineage: Bacteria
Description: partial 16S ribosomal RNA
Rfam family: Bacterial small subunit ribosomal RNA
Source: RNAcentral
CGUGUAGGCUGCUUCGCAAGUCGGAUGUGAAAGCCCUGGGCUCAACCCAGGAAGUGCAUUCGAAACUGCAGAGCUGGAGUCCUGGAGAGGAAGGCGGAAUUCUCGGUGUAGAGGUGAAAUUCGUAGAUAUCGAGAGGAACACCGGUGGCGAAGGCGGCCUUCUGGACAGUGACUGACGCUGAGACGCGAAGCGUGGGAGCAAACA